GACGAAGGAUGCAAGCGUUAUCCGGAUUCAUUGGGUUUAAAGGGUGCGUAGGCGGCCCGGUAAGUCAGUGGUGAAAUCUCCUUGCUUAACAAGGAAACUGCCAUUGAUACUGUCGGGCUUGAGUACAGUUGCUGUGGGCGGAAUAUGACAUGUAGUGGUGAAAUACAUAGAGAUGUCAUAGAACACCGAUUGCGAAGGCAGCUCACAAAACUGUAACUGACGCUGAGGCACGAAAGUGCGGGGAUCAAACAGG
RNAcentral lists this ribosomal RNA (253 nucleotides) under uncultured bacterium. RNAcentral's name for it is "partial 16S ribosomal RNA". It matches the Rfam family "Bacterial small subunit ribosomal RNA", at positions 524 to 776 of the family's 1533-position model. The record is from RNAcentral. RNAcentral also lists the same sequence under 1 other name.